AGCAACAGUUCCAGGACGGUAACGAUGUGGUUUCUUGACUCCACCAGUGGUCGGUGCAGAUUUACGAGCAGCCUGUGUUGAAUAUAUAAGAAGAUCAAAACUUGAUUAAUGACAAUUAAAGGCACAAUCUGAGCACACAAAAAAAGAGACAGAGAAGGAACAAAAACCUUAGUAGCAAGUUGCUUCCUUGGAGCUUUUCCUCCGGUGGACUUACGAGCGGUUUGCUUGGUACGAGCCAUCUCUGCUCAUUCACAAGAUUUGAAGCCGUCAAUUAGGGAUUUUCAUUAUACACAAAACUUAUUUGAUGAAGAAAUUGGAGAAAUUAAAAACCCUAAUAAUGAUUAACUGUUUAUCAACCCAGAUAAUAUAUAGCCAAAGGGGAAAAAUUUGAGUCUCAAACCCUAAUUUACAAAACACAACUACGCAAUGACAAUCACACACAGACAGAUCACUAACAUAGAGCCACUAAGCAAGAAACAAACGAACGAUUAAGUAUUUGAUCGAUCGACAGAAUUACCAGAGUCGAUCUUCACGUGUUUAUAUCUAUGCAGCAAAUUUGAAAGACGGAUCUUUGAUUUUCAUAUAGGAAUAGGACAAAACCCAAGACUCAAUUGUCGUGAAAAUCAGAUCACAGAGACAGUAACAGAAAAUUUAAGGAACGAGCUAAUACCCUAAUCCCAAAACAUACCUCUUCUUCGCUUGAGGAGACUUUUGUUUUGUUUUGCCUUUUUCUUUUAUUUUUGUCUUUCGUCACAAAAGAAGUAAUAGCGGAUGAUUGAACUAGUAGUGUGGUUGUUGUGUUCACAAUGCCGUCGAAUGUGUUAUUUAUAAUACCAACGAAAGGGUUCUCACGAUACGCUCCUUUGUGCUUUCUUACAUCUUUCAUCCGACGGUUAAAACAUUUGCACAUUGUGUUUUCUCGUCUCAACCCGACGGCUACGAUUGAAAAAUUUUAGUUUCACGCGGAUUACCAAUUUCGUGAAUGUCAAAGUUAUUGAACUAAAUCAAACUUUGUAACGCCAUGCUAAUUUAUCAAACAAAAAUUUAAUUGAACAGAAUCAACAUCACAUGAAACAAAAGUCAAAAACUUUAACAUAUCAAAUAUGUCUCAGAGUUGCAAUUCAACAACAAACGGUGUUUUAGUAUUGCCAAAGAAGAAAGCAAUACACACCACAAAACGUAGCUAAGAACAUAAGCAAUUCAUAAAACCGAAUAGACAAGAAAUAGAGAAUUAAAAAACCAACCAUCAUUGUAUUCAAGUCACCUACAACCAUAAGCUUUUAAAGCCAUUAUCUAAUUCCAACUAUCUAUUUAGAAAACCCCACAUUCACAUAAUCCAACCAGCUUCCCCAUUACACUUAAGCACGCUCCCCUCUGAUCCUGCGAGCAAGUUGAAUGUCUUUUGGCAUUAUGGUGACACGCUUGGCAUGAAUGGCGCAGAGGUUAGUGUCCUCAAAGAGACCCACAAGGUAUGCUUCAGCAGCCUCCUGGAGUGCAAGCACAGCAUGGCUCUGGAAACGCAGAUCAGUCUGCACAACACAACAAAAAUAUGAUAAGCACACGGGUUACUAUACAGUAAACAUAAAUCAGUAAUCUCAGGAACAGAGACACCAGCACAUUACCUUGAAAUCUUGGGCAAUCUCACGAACGAGCCUCUGAAAAGGGAGCUUCCUGAUCAGCAACUCAGUACUCUUCUGGUACUUACGGAUUUCACUGUUAAUCAAAAACAAGAAAACAAGGAAACAGAAUUAGGUCAAAAAAGAUAACAACCAAGCAUAACCCAAUCAUAUUUGUGGGAAAACAAAAUGCAUACCGAAGAGCAACAGUUCCAGGACGGUAACGAUGAGGCUUCUUGACUCCUCCGGUGGUUGGUGCAGACUUACGUGCAGCCUGAAUUUUUUAUGAAAAAACAAACAAUUAGGACAAAUCCAGAUAUGUGUCCACCAAAUAACUCAGAUCACAUGUGAGAGAGCCUAAUUCUUAUUACCUUUGUAGCAAGCUGCUUCCUAGGGGCCUUUCCUCCAGUAGACUUACGAGCUGUU
This 2042-nucleotide long non-coding RNA is filed under the name Capsella grandiflora. RNAcentral's name for it is "long non-coding RNA (CGRA_LNC001363)". The record is from RNAcentral. Lineage: Eukaryota; Viridiplantae; Streptophyta; Magnoliopsida; Brassicales; Brassicaceae.